GUCACUGAAGAGCGACAAAAUGGAUCCGGCCGGCGUCGUUAGCCUUAGACAAGUUAGCAAUGGCCUUAAGCCACCAAACCUGGUAAAAAUCCCGAGAUCAGCUCCUUUCAAGAUCUACACUCAGAUGGCAGCAAAUGCAGUAAUAGUGUUCGGUGACAAACUGAGAGUAAUCCUGCGACUACGUUCAACAUCCUCGAGCGACUCCAUGGCUGCCCUCCAGACGGUAAUAAACCCGUCGAUCCCCCACCCACUAGCAGUCUCCUUCAGAGACUCGUACAGGCGCUGUCUUCACCAACUGGAGAAACAGUCGACCUGUACUGGAUUAAAGCACACGCAGGGUGGGAGGAAAACGAAAGAGCCGACCAUCUGGCUAAGGAGGCAGCGAUGAACUCAAAAAGGAGGUCGGACUAUGACGGGUGUCCUGUCUCAUUCGUCAAGCGUCUGAUCCGCGAUCGGACGCUUGCCGAGUGGGACGGGCGAUAUCGGUCUAGCGAGACGGCUUCAGUUACCAAGCUUUUCUUCCCGAGCACUGUUGCUGCGUAUAGGAUUGUCGGUAAGAUUGCCCAAACACAACACAACUGUUCACGGGACAUGGCGGGUUCGCCACAUAUCUACACCAUUUUCGGUAUCGGGAGGACCCGUCGUGUCCUUGUGAGCAGUCACAGCCUGAGACGAUCACACACAUCCCGUCCCAUUGUCCCCGCUUCAGGCGACAACGCAACGACCUGGAGCAUGAUAUUGGCGAUAAGAGCGAAGAAAACAAAGAAAUGAGCAGAAAAUUCGUAGAGUAUAGCAGUAAGAUAAUAAAAACUAUAGUAAUUAGACAUAGUAACAGGUAAAACUAUAUGAAAAUGUAUAUUGAUUAUACAAUUUAAAUAUUGUAAUAGGAAAUAAAUAAAAAAUAGUCAUUAAAAAUCUCAAUCCUAUUUAAAUAUAGUUUUUUCCCUGUAAUAGUGUAGUGUUAGUUUAAAUAUUUUUAGUUGAUACUGCUUUUAAUAAAAAUAUUAGAUAUAAGAAAAAUAUAACUAUUAGGAAAUAAAUAAAAGUAGCAAGACUGGAAGUUAAUAUCCGGGGACCGUGUUAAUUUAGUUACCCUACCCCGACUAGAUAUAAGUUUAGUCGACGGCCCACUUACUGCGGUAGGCACCAUAUAUAAAAACAAAAAAAAAACAGAGUAAUACAAGACCCACAGAUUGUCACCUAAACUGAAGCUGCAAUCCUAGAACCAUAAAGAUUGAGUACUACUUGUAAAUACAUACCGAUACUGAUGGUCUAAAAUCAUUCCUUAUGGCAGUCUAUGUUGGAGGCCUAUGUUUGCAGUGCAUGGACAGAUAAUGGUUGAUGUUAUGAUAGUUUAUAAUAUUAGUAGUUUAAUUCACUUUUUUAAACAAAAGUUCACUUCACCUCGUCGGUUCACCUAUUUUUUUAUGAAUCUUUCCCCAGCUUUGUCGAAGACAAAAUUAUUAACUUCUGUUCAAACUCCGACCGCCUCCUAAAUAUCAACACUCGCAUCGCGUAUAACAUUAUUCGAUACUGCCUUUAUUAGAUAUAGACAGUGUAAUCUGUGCAUAACAUUAUUUGUAGAAUGGUAACUUUGUUUUUAUCUGUUGGCAACAUUGUCGCGUGUGUCAAUGAGUUGAAGUCUUAGGUAGCCAUGUGUGAUUCGUUGUCGAUUCUUGUAAUAUUAAUAAAUUCUUCUAAUUUGAUUGCUGAGCGUUUCACUGCAAAACUAUUAUUCAUAUUAGCCUUUUUGUACCAAACUUUACUUACGUUCUCCGUAGUGCACUAUGAAAUUUGGUAAACACGCACUAUAGAAAACGGAGAAGGGCCUAAACUACCUUUUGAUUCUGAUCAGUGAACAUGUCCUGGUUGCGGAGAUAGUCACGAGUAAAAGCUUACCGCCUAUAUUUGGCAUAUAGGGGGAGAGGGGGCACAUUGAUUCACGGGGCACAUUGGUACAGUAUCUAUAUCUCAAAACCGAUAAACGCUACACAGUCCGGCACAUCACUAGAAUGCUCAAGGGCAUUCACAAGAAUGACAGUUGUGACACCGUUCGCCGCCAGUUUGCCAUUGGACCUCAACGGUCAUUAACGUGUUGAAAGUGGCGUGCGCCGCUGCCUACAAAAAAAAACGUGAAAUGUAAUUGUGUCUCAGGAGGAUUCUUUUAGUUGUUUUUGUUAUUAUUUGUUACUACAGAAAACGGUGCGCACGUACAAACACAAAACUGAUAGAAAAAAUAUCAAUGAAGAAAACAUUGAAGACGCAAUACGUGAAGCAUUGUCAAAGACUUUAUCUAUACGCAAAGCAGCCGACAAAUAUAGCAUCAAAACUGCGACCCUACAACAUCGCAUAGAAAAAGCCAGAAAAUCAUUUGAAGCUACCAGAAUAUUAUCUACAAAUGAAGCAUCCUCUUCAUUACAAGCAGAAUCUUCUUUAUCACAAGCAGGUCCAUCUUCACCACAAAUAGCACCAUCUAUGGAGAUGGCACAAAUAGCGUCAUCUUCAGCACACACUACUACUGCAGCUUUAUCAUCACACACUGCUACAGCUACUUCAUCAAACAUCUAUGGUUCCAAGUAUACCGUUGCACAAGUUUUUUCAAUCGAACAAGAAAAGGCAUUGACUCAAUAUUUAUUGAAUUGCAGUAAAAUGCACUACGGCCUUACAUUGAGACAGCUUUUGACUUUGGCAUACGAGUUCGCAGAAUCCUCAGGGUGUAAUUAUCCAAAACCCUGGAAAAAAAAACAAAUGCGCUGGAAAAGAUUGGCUUCAGGAAGAGAAACCCAGAAUUGAGUCUACGAAAACCAGAAAACACAAGCGCAGCAAGAAGCUUUGCUUUUAAUAAAGCUGCUGUAGCUCAAUUUCAUGAUAAUUACGAACGCAUAAUGAGACAGUACAAUUUUACACCCGAUCGAAUAAUAAACUUAGACGAAACAGGCAUAAGCACAGUUCUUUCUACUCCUAAAGUUAUUGCUGGGAGAAUACAAAGACAGGUGGGACAAAUAGUUUCUGCAGAACGCGGAGAGUUAGUUACUUUCUGUGGUAUUAUUACUGCUACUGGUUCUUUUCUUCCUCCAGUUUAUGUCUUUCCAAGAGUUCACUACAAAGAUCACUUCCUAAAUGGAGCUCCUGAUGGAAGUCUAGGGUUGGCAAACAGAAGCGGCUGGAUGACAUCAGAAUUGUUUAUAAGAGUUUUGAAACACAUUCAACGCCUUACUUCGAGCAAUAAAGAUAACCCAAUUCUAAUCAUUUGUGACAACCACGAAUCGCACAUUUCAAGAGAAGCUGUUAACUACUGUCGUGACAACGGUAUUGUUUAUUUGAGUCUGCCCCCACACACGUUACACAAAUUGCAACUUCAAAGGCAAAUUGAAGAUAGCUUUCAACGACUGGCACAUUCAAAAUGUUGGAAAGACUGACCAUAUACAACAUUGCUGAACUGUCAAAAUUAGCAUAUUUGGAAUCAUUUACACCAAAGAAUAUCAUAGGUGGUUUUUCCAAACCUGGAAUUUGGCCAAUUAAUAAACUGAUAUUUGGCGACGACGACUUUGCACCGAUAGACAUUUUCAGCACAGGUUAUCACGAUUUGACAGAUGAGAACACUCACAAAACACAAGAUUUACAUUUUGUAGACUCGGAAACAAGUCAAAAUAAUGAAGUUGUUGAUAGAGAACAAAAUAAAACUCCUACUUUGGAUACCGACCCAAUUUCAGUGUCUGAUGCUGACGAUUCUCUACAUGUUUCUUCAUCACAGGCUAUGCUUACUCCUGACGUAGUUAGACCUUAUCCAAAAAAGGCGAUUACUGACAGUGUCUUAAAAAGAAAAGGAAGAGAAAAGGGACAUAUCAAGAAUAUACACUGACACACCAGAAAAAAAUAGAUUAGAAAGCUUACGUAAUGAAAAGGACAGGAAAAGAGAAUUACAAAAAGCAAAACAGCAUGCAAAAGAAUUGAAAACAGCGAAAAAUCUGCUGGGGUUAACUGAGCCAAAAAAGAAAAAGAGAGUAACUUCUUUGCCUGCAGAAAUAGAUUCCGAUUCUAGUCUAGAUGAAGUCGUGAUGACGAGUGAUAGUGAAGAGAUUGAAAUGCCAUCGGAAUCAGAAGAAGAGGUAAUUAAUGAAGAACCAGUUAAUCCUGAACACAUAAAUAUUGGAGAUUUCCUACUAAUUAAGUUUGAGAAGAAGAAAACUGUGAUUCACUACGUUGCCAAAGUCGUAUUUAAGUAUAAUGUGACAGAAUAUGAAGUAUCAUAUCUCAGAAAAAAAACAGGGUCUUAUAAGUUCAUAUUUCCAAUUGUGGAAGACAAAGCAAGUGUGGAUGUUAGAGAUGUAGUUUUGCAAUUACCAAAACCAACUUUCUCCAAAGGCACAUCUCGAACAUCGUCGCUUUAUUCAUUUUCGGUAGGUUUAACUCGAUAUAAUAUCCAGUAGAUUGUUUUGUAAUUUAUAUGAGAGUUUUUAUGAUUAUUUUUGUUAAAUUUUUGAUGUUUGUUUAAUUUUUUAAGAAAACUAUUGUUUAUUUUGAUAGGAGGUUCUAAUAUUAUAUUUUCAUUAACAAUAUUCAAUGUUAAAGUCUGAUUACUUAGUAAGUAUAUAACUGAUUAUAUAAUUAAGAAAAUAACAGAGAAUUAGUCUUGUUCUAUGAUGACAAUAUUGUUUUUUUUUGUGAUUAUAUUUCUUAAGUAACUUAAGAGACUGAUUAUGGCUAAUGUGCACUCUUAAUAAAAAGUAUUUUGCGAUCUCAAUCAAUAAAA
Galleria mellonella (greater wax moth) is the source of this 4753-nucleotide long non-coding RNA. RefSeq lists it as uncharacterized. Lineage: Eukaryota; Metazoa; Arthropoda; Insecta; Lepidoptera; Pyralidae. The record is from RefSeq and is a predicted model, not a curated record. The transcript has 2 exons.